UGCAGUCGAGCGGAACAGAUAAAGAGCUUGCUCCUUUGAGAUUAGCGGCGGACGGGUGAGUAACGUCUGGGUAACCGACCUAUAAGACUGGGAUAACUUCGGGAAACCGGAGCUAAUACCGGAUAACAUUUAAAACCGCAUGGGUCUAACUUGAGGCCUCUUGCCGCUAUCUGUUAUCAAUGGACCCUCGCCAUAUUAUGUAGUUGCGAAUGUACCAGGUUACCAUCGCUACCAGACCUAACCGAACUGCCAGGGUGAUCGGACACGCUGGAACUGAGACACUCCUACGACUCCUACGGGAGGCAAAUAUUGGGAAUCUUCCGCAAUGCUGAAAAGCCUGACGGAGCAGCGCCGCGUGACCUUGAAGGGUUUCGGCUCUUAAAACUCUGUUAUUAGGGAAGAACAUAUGUGUAAGUAACUGUGCACAUCUUGACGGAACAUAAUCCGAAUACCUCCGCUACCUACGUGCCAGCAACCGCGAUAAUGCGUACGUGGCAAGCGUUAUCCGGAAUUAUUGGGCGUAAAGCGCGCGUGUGCGGUUUCUUAAGUCUGAUGUGAAAUCCCACUGCUCACUCGUGUCGGGUCUUUGGAAACUGAGAAACUUGAGUGCAGAAGAAAUUCCUGGUGUUCCAUGUGUAUGCGGUGAAGAUGCUGCAGAGAUAUGCGAGUGAACAACAGUGGCCCACCGGCGACUUUCUGUGUCUGCUACCUGAGCGCUGAUGUGCGAGAGCGUGCAGGA
This 739-nucleotide ribosomal RNA is filed under the name Staphylococcus xylosus. Its description in RNAcentral is "bacterial SSU rRNA". It matches the Rfam family "Bacterial small subunit ribosomal RNA", at positions 57 to 768 of the family's 1533-position model. The record is from RNAcentral. Lineage: Bacteria; Bacillati; Bacillota; Bacilli; Caryophanales; Staphylococcaceae.